This 255-nucleotide ribosomal RNA is filed under the name Aeromonas hydrophila. Its description in RNAcentral is "partial 16S ribosomal RNA". It matches the Rfam family "Bacterial small subunit ribosomal RNA", at positions 331 to 578 of the family's 1533-position model. Lineage: Bacteria; Pseudomonadati; Pseudomonadota; Gammaproteobacteria; Aeromonadales; Aeromonadaceae. The record is from RNAcentral.
CCAGACUCCUACGGGAGGCAGCAGUGGGGAAUAUUGCACAAUGGGGGAAACCCUGAUGCAGCCAUGCCGCGUGUGUGAAGAAGGCCUUCGGGUUGUAAAGCACUUUCAGCGAGGAGGAAAGGUUGAUGCCUAAUACGUAUCAACUGUGACGUUACUCGCAGAAGAAGCACCGGCUAACUCCGUGCCAGCAGCCGCGGUAAUACGGAGGGUGCAAGCGUUAAUCGGAAUUACUGGGCGUAAAGCGCACGCAGGCGG